This 497-nucleotide ribosomal RNA is filed under the name uncultured bacterium. Its description in RNAcentral is "partial 16S ribosomal RNA". It matches the Rfam family "Bacterial small subunit ribosomal RNA", at positions 28 to 507 of the family's 1533-position model. The record is from RNAcentral.
GAUGAACGCUGGCGGCGUGCCUAAUACAUGCAAGUCGAGCGAACAGACGAGGAGCUUGCUCCUCUGACGUUAGCGGCGGACGGGUGAGUAACACGUGGAUAACCUACCUAUAAGACUGGGAUAACUUCGGGAAACCGGAGCUAAUCCCGGAUAAUAUAUUGAACCGCAUGGUUCAAUAGUGAAAGACGGUUUUGCUGUCACUUAUAGAUGGAUCCGCGCCGCAUUAGCUAGUUGGUAAGGUAACGGCUUACCAAGGCGACGAUGCGUAGCCGGCCUGAGAGGGGGAUCGGGCACAAGAGAACGGAAACACGGUCCAGACUCCUAAGGGAGGCAGCAGUAGGGAAGCUUCCGCAAGGGGCGAAAACCUGACGGAGCAACGCCGCGUGAGGGAUGAAGGUCUUCGGAUCGUAAAACUCUGUUAUUAGGGAAGAACAAAUGUGUAAGUAACUAGGCACGUCGUGACGGUACUUAAUCAGAAAGCCACGGCUAACUACGUG